AAAAGUGCCAAGAAGGUGGAUGGAGAUGUUUUAAAAUGAAAACGGUCUCUUCCACAUGAGAGGAAGAGACUUAUUUUGCUAACCUGGUUGUAACUGGAUGAAAUAUGAACAAGGAAGGGUGAACUUAGUUCUAUUAAUCCAAACAGAUUAUUUCACCGUGUGGAGUAGAAAUAAAAAUAGACCAAGUGUCUUAUGUCCCAAACAAACCAAGUUGUAUCUGUGCCAGCUUUGUCUCCAUACCAUGUAGGGUGAGAAUCCUGCUGGGCACAGGGACACUUUAGCCUAAAUAGGGCAUAGAGAAUUCUUGUAGACUCCUAGCUUCUCUCUGUGGCAGCUCCCACAUUUCAUUUCUAUCCUUUAUAUUUUUUUGCAGAGCUGGAGGUAAAUGCUGCCGUAGUCUCUGGACAAAGCAGUGAGCCCAAAGAGAUAGUUGAAAAGUCCAAAAUCCCAAGCCGAAGAAACUCCCGAACCGAAGAGCCAACUGUGGCUUCUGAAAGUGUGGAAAAUGGACAUCGUAAACGAUCUUCUCGACCUGCUUCAGCCUCCAGCUCUACUAAAGACAUAACCAGUGCGGUGCAAUCCAAGCGAAGAAAAUCCAAGUAAACAAGCAGGACUGCGACUUGAUACUUGUAAAUGUGUGUGACUUUUACAAAGAGCAAUUUUGAGCUGUGACUUUUUUAAAUCAAUUUCUGUACAGUUAGUAAUUUUAAUAAUGUGGCCCUUUUCCUAGUCCCUGCAACCUGUUUCAUAAAGUGCAAUGGGGAAAGCAGGACUGUUGAGCCCUUUUGGUGUUGCGAGUUGAAGUUCCAGGUUUCUAAAAUGUUGUCUUGUAUUGAAAGGAGCUAAUGCCAUUAUAAA
This 858-nucleotide small RNA is filed under the name Pan troglodytes (chimpanzee). RNAcentral describes it as "retained intron". The record is from RNAcentral. Lineage: Eukaryota; Metazoa; Chordata; Mammalia; Primates; Hominidae.